ACGGGGUGCAGCAGGCGCGAAAACUUUGCAUGCACGAAAGUGUGACAAGGGAACUCCAAGUGCUUAUACAACGUAUAGGCUUUUGCCAAAUGUAAAUAGUUUGGCGAAUAAGUGGUGGGUAAGACGGGUGCCAGCAGCCGCGGUAACACCUGCGCCACAAGUGGCAGCCGAUAUUAUUUGGCCUAAAGCGUCCGUAGCUGGUUUGGAAAAUCUCUUGUGAAAGUGCCAGGCUCAACCUGACGAAUGGCAGGAGACACUCCUAAACUCGGAACCGGUAGGAGUCAGAAGUAUGCUAGGGGUAACGGCAAAAUAAUCUCACUACGUUCGAAACUGUAAAGAACGGAGUGGACUUUACAGUGUUAUAAUCCCUAGUAGACUACCUGUGGCGAAGGCGUCUGACUAGGACGGAUUCGACAGUGAGGGACGAAAGCUAGGGGAGCGAUCCGGAUUAGAUAUCGGGGUUUCUGUGUAAAAUCUUUGUCUGAUUGCAAACAAUUACUGGACAAAGAAUAAUUGAUCAGGGACAUCAACCCGACUAAUUACCCGAGUAGUCCUAGCUGUAAACACUGCGAGCAAGGUGUUGCAUAUUCCUCGGGAAUGUGCAGUAUCGAAGAGAAGUCGUUAAGCUCGCCGCCUGGGAAGUAUGGUCGCAAGACCGAAACUUAAAGGAAUUGGCGGGGGAGCAC
Molecule: ribosomal RNA, 686 nt
Filed under: uncultured archaeon
Lineage: Archaea
Description: bacterial SSU rRNA
Rfam family: Archaeal small subunit ribosomal RNA
Source: RNAcentral